AUUGAACGCUGGCGGCAUGCUUUACACAUGCAAGUCGAACGGUAACAGGCCGCAAGGUGCUGACGAGUGGCGAACGGGUGAGUAAUGCAUCGGAACGUGCCCAGUCGUGGGGGAUAACUACUCGAAAGAGUAGCUAAUACCGCAUACGAUCUAUGGAUGAAAGCGGGGGACCGUAAGGCAUCGCGCGAUUGGAGCGGCCGAUGUCAGAUUAGGUAGUUGGUGGGGUAAAGGCUCACCAAGCCAACGAUCUGUAGCUGGUCUGAGAGGACAACCAGCCACACUGGGACUGAGACACGGCCCAGACUCCUACGGGAGGCAGCAGUGGGGAAUUUUGGACAAUGGGCGCAAGCCUGAUCCAGCAAUGCCGCGUGCAGGAAGAAGGCCUUCGGGUUGUAAACUGCUUUUGUACGGAACGAAACGGCUCUGGUUAAUACCCGGGGCUAAUGACGGUACCGUAAGAAUAAGCACCGGCUAACUACGUG
This 482-nucleotide ribosomal RNA is filed under the name uncultured bacterium. Its description in RNAcentral is "partial 16S ribosomal RNA". It matches the Rfam family "Bacterial small subunit ribosomal RNA", at positions 30 to 507 of the family's 1533-position model. The record is from RNAcentral.